Long non-coding RNA from Phasianus colchicus (ring-necked pheasant), 1585 nucleotides. NCBI's taxonomy places the organism in Eukaryota, Metazoa, Chordata, Aves, Galliformes, Phasianidae. The record is from Ensembl.
GGGACAUUUUUCUGUCUCAGCUUUUUUGAUUGAUCCGUUCAAUUCAGUAAUGUCCAGAGAAAAGACUCCCUUAAAGCAGCUUUUUUGAAUAUAUUUCUGCUUAUCUACUUCUUCUAGGAGAUAGGACAUUUCUUCCAGUGUCUUUCCUUCGUUCUUCUUUUGAGAGUGUUAAUAUUUUACCAAAAGUGUCUUUCCACGCAAAUGUAUACUAAAGUACUUAAAAUAAGCUUGAUGCGUGAAUUUAUGGGGCAAAAAUAAUCAUUUGUUUUAUGUAUUAGAGCUGUAACACUUUUCACUGAAACUUUUAUUAUAUGAAAUUUUUUCCAAAUCAAAGACCCUCAGCUCUGAUAACAGAACAAGAUGUAACCUCUGAAGUAAAAACUGUAAAUAACAGGGUUUUUUUUGUGCCUUUUCCCAAAACAAUAACUCUGGUUCAGUCAUUGGACCUACAGGUUUUUCACAUUAUUUCAGUUGUUUCCCAUCUCUGGGAAUGCUAUGGCAUGCAUGCCUACAGGAUUUACAAUUAAGCUCUUUGAGCAGCAGCCAUUUGAAGAGAUGUAAGUUAGUUUUGAUUGCUUGUUUGUUUUUAAUGGAUGUAAUAUUUAUUUACCACAGGUUUACAGCAAAGAAGCAGCUGCAGCUCAGACCACAAAAGACCAAAAAAUUUGAUCUUAUGAAAUUCUACCAUUUCCUGAGAGGGCUGAGAAUUGCCAGAGAGUGGUUGCUUUGGAAGAGAAAUAUGAGGCUUGAAAUCAUGCAUGCAUGUGGCAAUAGAGCAGCUGCUCAGCCGGUACGGAUUGCUGAGACAGGGGAGCUGUGCUGGUACAGCCAAGCCAUGUGCCCACUCUGAGAAGUCUGCAGACCAUUCAUGUGAGCAGCCAGCUUUUCACCUCUGAGCACAGAUGCCCGCGUUGCCUGGUGAUUGACUCCUGCCACAGUCAGCGCUCUGUGCUGUGCCCACUGCGCAUCUGCUCAAGCCCUUCUUUUAACCCCUUCAACAGUACAGCAUUGCUCAGUGCUGGAGGUGGAAAUUCAGUGUGGUUUUAGCUGGAUUAGACUUCUACAGAGAUGCAAAAGGGGUAAAAUUACAUUGUGUGUGUUAGUUCAGGUUGCUAGUGGUCACUUGGGGUUUAAGGAUCUUUUCCUCCAAACAGUUUGUUCUGUAAGAUGUUUUUUCUUAAGGUUACUCUGACUCCUGACAGUGGCAAUCUCUGUAGAGAGGACUGCAAAGUCACUAGACCUUCAAGUAUGAUCUAAUAUGACAAUUCUGCUAUUUCUAUCUGAUAUUGCAGAAUGGUGCAGAACAUGAAAUCUGUACAGCUAGUUCUCCUCUGGUCAUUCAUUCUUACCAAUGGAUCCUGGGGAUAACGAAUGCUUUACUUAGUAAUAGAUAAAUGUUCUUCGGUAAUGCCUCUCACUAAGAAAACACAAUUUUAACCAGGCAAGAGAUUAAAAAUAGCUAGAGAAAUACUGUGACAGAUGGCACUGCUCAUCCUGCCUUACCACUUGGGCAUGUUCUGUUUCAUGUUUCUUUCAUUCUCCCAAUUCAGAAAAGAAAAUCCAAUUAAAUUAAGCAUGUUGUAAC